Molecule: long non-coding RNA, 785 nt
Organism: Drosophila sechellia
Lineage: Eukaryota; Metazoa; Arthropoda; Insecta; Diptera; Drosophilidae
Exons: 3
Source: RefSeq, a predicted model, not a curated record
CACACAUGCUGUAAACUGAUUUUAGCUCAAUAUAAUGUGACGUCUCUCGCUUUUGAUAAGGGUUCUCCUCUCGGCCGGAGGCUGUCAAAUGAUAAGCAGCAGACAAGCCCAAUAAAAGGGAUAUAGGUGGAGCGAAUAGCGAAUUGUUAUUAUUACAACACUUGCCCGGGAAAGCAGGGUUCGAGUUACACAAAAACAAGGCACGCACGAAUGCCUUUCCAAUUAAAAAUUCAAAAACCUUUUUUCAGCCACUCACCAAAUUGGCGAAUUACGUGCCAAACUGAAAGACAGAAGGUUCCCAGCUCGAACGAUGAAUUAUUUAUAGAUAUAUGGCUUCUAUAAGGACACGCAUUAUCACAAUUAUAUCGCAAUGGAUGGGAUCAAUGCAGAGAUAAAAAACAAAUCAAAGUAUGCAUAUACAUACGCCAGUCUUAUGAACAAAUAUACAAGUAUACUUCAAACCGCCUUUGCAAAUUGCACUAAGUAAUAGUUCAUGAUCAUGAUGGAAUUUUCCCCUAAAAUGCUGGGCCUUAUUAGUUAGACUGUUAAUCGUUUUGGGGCAGCAGCAAAACUCUCCCCGGGGCACAUUUAACUAAAGCACAGCCAAGGACAGCAUUGAUGGAGAGCUGGAAGGAUGGGAGGGUCCUGCCGAAGGAUGUGAGGUGGCGACUAUGCCGGCCGAACUGACUGCUCGUGGCAAUUAUAAAUUGUUGAAAAUAAUUUCAUUAAAUAUGUAAAAAGGCGACGCCGAAUAGAGAAGCGUAUUAAAGGACGGCCGUGGGAUC